UUUACUUUUUUUUGCUCCUAACUGGAGCUUCCGUCCAACGUAUCAAGGUUUCGUUUGAAAUUGUGGGAAGAUUACAUUACCUGCGGUAAGAAAGAACGGUGGAAAAAUACUCUGUUUGUUUCCGUACGUAAUAUUGCGUUCCGUAUAUCACGAUUAGUCGAUUACAAUAUAUUUUCUACGGUUCCAUCGAAGAACGCAGAAGCAUAUCCCUAUAUAUUUUUUUCUCAACUCCAUUUUAUCUAAUAGCGUUAUAUAGAACUCAAUACCAAACUAAGCAUUUAAGCCUAAGUAUAGCUACUUAAAAUAUUGGGUUAAGUACAUAUAGUUUCUCGUAAACAUAUCGAAUAGCAGGUAUAUUUCUAGAAAGUUCAGCUUUUCAUAUUUAUUUAAGCAAAAAUUCUAACGUUUUCAAAUAUACUUCUACUGUUCAGAUUCGUUAGAAAAAUAUAGUUAGCCAUAGAUAAAAUAUUUAAUCUUGAUUAGUGAAUGAGGUAAAUUGACCCUUUUACCCCUCUGAUAUUAUUUGUCGUCGGAAAAAGAAAGAAGAUGAUCGUUGAGGAUUUUUGGAAGAAUAUUUCUGUAUAAUUCUAACAGUUGAGAUUUUUUGAGAAAUAUAUUUGUGAUGACAAAAUAUCAUUUUACUUAUCUUCUGUUAAAAAAUAAACGGUGCUCUAUAGGUAACAAACUAGAAGAGCAAAUAUGAAUGAAUAUCACUGGACUUAUGCAAGAAUAAAUAUGAAAAGUUGAAUUCUGUAGAAAUAUAUUUGCUAUACGAUAUAUUUACAGGGUGCUGUAUGAAACUAAUCCUAACAUGUUAAUCAAAAUAUCAAUCUGAUAGUAGUUAUGUGAAAGAUUGAUUUGAUAGGAAAUAGCCUAGAAUUUUUUAAUAAUAAUCACUUUGAUAGCAGUUUUGUCAAUGUACUUCUUGGGUGGAUGUAGCAAAUGCUUUCUCAUGCUUCGCCAAAACUCUGAUUAAUUGUUGCUUCUCGAAGUAGAAAAACUGUAGUUAGAUGUAGUAACGUUAAUGGGUCGGCUUCGGGGAGGUUUUUGCAACAUUUAAAGUCGAACCCGAUAAAAGGCUGAAAUCUGGAAUCGUACCCAAGUCCUACUGGUAGGAAAAUUCAAAUUCGAAGCUGAACCCGAAAAGAAUACCAAAAGUCCCUACCCAAAACCAGAAAAUCAAUCCUGACCAUUUAAUAUACUAAAUAUAAAUAUUAAAUAAAUCAUCCAUUAAAAUAAAUAUCUAAAAAAUUAUCUUUUUAUAUAUAUUAAAAACAAGUUUUCAUAUAGUUUUGAGAUCGUCUUUGGAUUCGGUUUCGGUAUAGACAAAAACUAUAACUUAAUCCGAAUUCAUCAAUUUUUGUUGUUUUCAUAGAAAUUAUCGAAAUUCGGGUAUCUGUACCUAUUGACAUCCUUGUUGGAACCUGGUGGUUGAUAUAUGCCCUUACUUUGGUAUGAGGGGUUUGAAGUGGUACAAUUCACUCCAAUCAUUUUGCUAGACAUACAAUCCAAGAUGGUUCAUUCUGUCUUGCUAUGCUAAUGAUAUGUCAUUUUCUUUUCUUUAUUGAAGUACAUAUCUAAUGGUUGCAACUUAAUUUAAAAGGCACUAGUUAGGUUAUAAGGAUUUAACACAUACACUUGGAUGGAUCAAAAUAAAUUUCAUAAUUAAAAAUAAAAAUAAAAACCCUGAAAAUAGUGAGAAAAUUAAAUAGAUAAUUACUAAAUUUGAUUUUUUUAAAAAAAAAAAAAAGAAACUCUUCUGAAAGUUGAUUUACUAUAACAACUUAAGCCUUGAGCUCUAAACACCAAAAUAAAAAAGGCAUUUUUUUGAAAUAGUUUCAUACAGUUCCCUAUAAACAUAUCGAAUAGCAGAUAUGUUUCUAAAAAAUUCAAAUUGUUAGAUUUAUCAGUUCAAAAGCCCAGUGAUAUUUAUAUUUGCCUCUUUUAUUUGUUACAGUUAGCUCAUUAUUUAUUUUUAAACAGAAAUUAAAUGAAAUGUCAUUUUACCAUCACAAAUAUGUCCCUCCAAAAGUCCAUACUGUUAGAAUUAUACAGAAAUAUCCUCCCGAAAAAUUUCAAUUGUUAUCUUCUUCCUCUAUAAAAACUAACUCAAUCCACCAUUGUUGCAAUAUCUUUUCUACCUCUUCCCUCACUCCUUUUCUCCUUACCUAUCUAUUACUGAUUCCCUAGCGCUCGACAUGGAUAAAACAAAAUGCGUCGUGGAUGAAUGGGGACGGAGAAACCCUAGAUACGGGUUUGAAACUAGCACGAAGGAGAGGGAGGGAGAUGAAGAGGAAAACGAAGAAGAGUUUCCGUUGCUAGGGUUUUGAUAGAACUAGAAUUUUGAUUGAGAAAAGAAAGUAUAAUAUCAGAGAGGUAAAAAGUUCAAUUUACCUCAAUCACUAACCAAGAUUAAGUAUUUUACCUAUGAUUAACUAUAUUUUAGGGGGUGUAUUUGAAACCGUUAGCAUUUUUCGAGGAAUAAAUCUGACAACUUGAACUUUGUAGGGAUAUUUUUGCUAUUCGAUAUACUCACAGUAAGCUUAAUGAAACUAUCCCUUUUUU
This 2565-nucleotide long non-coding RNA is filed under the name Ananas comosus (pineapple). RNAcentral's name for it is "long non-coding RNA (ACOM_LNC001470)". Lineage: Eukaryota; Viridiplantae; Streptophyta; Magnoliopsida; Poales; Bromeliaceae. The record is from RNAcentral.